RNAcentral lists this ribosomal RNA (770 nucleotides) under Mylonchulus sp. MZM 4. RNAcentral's name for it is "partial large subunit ribosomal RNA". It matches the Rfam family "Eukaryotic large subunit ribosomal RNA", at positions 370 to 948 of the family's 3401-position model. Lineage: Eukaryota; Metazoa; Nematoda; Enoplea; Mononchida; Mylonchulidae. The record is from RNAcentral.
AGAACUUUGAAGAGAGAGUUCAAGAGGGCGUGAAACCGUUUAGGAGUAAACGGGUAAAGCCGCAAGGAGAGGCCGCGAAAUUCAGCCGUUCGAAUUCGAUGGCGCAUGGGCGUUGGGAGACCUUAAAAGCUCCCGCGUCUAUAACGCUGUCUCUAACGGUGCACUUUUCGCGGCGCACGUCGCGAUCGAGUUUUCGGUUCGAAAGAAGAGUUGACUCGAAGACGGAGCCGCGUGUUCCGCGCCUAAGUCGACUCGGGCGUCGAUACUAGGGCUCGAUUUACUUCGGCGAUGACGAUUCUAUCGAGCGUCUGCGGUAGUCGAUCGGGUCGGUCGAAAUGUUGGCAGCUUGCUCGCAGGCUCCGACGACCCCCGGCUUUAACGAUUGCCGUUGACGCCGUUCAUCGUCCGUUCCGCGACGUCCGUGGCGGCCGCUUACCCGACCCGUCUUGAAACACGGACCAAGGAGUCUAACAUGUGCGCGAGUUGUCGGGAAGAUAGAAACCCGUACGGCGUAAUAAAAGUGAAAGCGUUCUUUAGGACGCGUUAGAUACGAUCUCGGCUUUUCGGAGUCGAGCGGAGUAUCGUCCCGUCCGAGCGGUACGUCCGCUGGGCGGAGAUAGAGCGUAAAUGUUGGGACCCGAAAGAUGGUGAACUAUGCUCGAGCAGAACGAAGCCAGAGGAAACUCUGGUGGAGGUUCGUAGCGGUUCUGACGUGCAAAUCGAUCGUCAGACUUGGGUAUAGGGGCGAAAGACUAAUCGAACCAUCUAGU